This 1255-nucleotide long non-coding RNA is filed under the name Numida meleagris (helmeted guineafowl). RNAcentral's name for it is "lncRNA (ENSNMEG00000018361.1)". The record is from RNAcentral. Lineage: Eukaryota; Metazoa; Chordata; Aves; Galliformes; Numididae.
CUUUUUACUCACUUUCUCCAGUAUUUUUAUUGUUUUUUAUCUUAUUUAUUUAUUUUUCUGUUUAUUCUGCACAGAGAACGGUCUUUUUGCCUGAAUUUAUGUAAAGCACCUAACACCAUGAGAUCCUGUGGUGUGACAAACUAAUUGAACAACUGCAGUAUUGCAUUUCUACAUUUCACAGACAGUAGAAAAACCAGCUAUGUGCAAAAUGUGGUGCAAAAAGCAGUUGCUGAGGUAUUUUCAAGCAAAUCAGAAAGCAAAUUUCUGGAAAAUCUCUGGAUGAUUGCAUGAAGCACAAUUCUGCUCCAUAGUGUGGAUGCAAUCCAGAAAAUUAGAGAUAGAAAGGACCAUGAAUUUUUAAAGGAAAUAUUAUAGUUUGAAUUCAAUGAUGAUAUUGAAGAGAACAUUUUAAAAUUAUUUUUUGAGAUUGCCAAAGAUAAUUGUUCCAGUGUGGACAUGUUUGGCAAAAUGAGGUGCUUUUUGCAGUAGUGAAGUACUCUGCCCAGCUGUCGGGAUGUCUGGGUGCUGUUCCUGACUCUUGCAUUGGCUGCAAGUGUAGGGUACUGAACCUGGCUCUCUUUGCUUCUCACAUCCUAGCUUUUCUUUUUCAGGAAGUAGAUGGAACAACAGGACUGGGCAGUGUCUCUGUGGUGGCAGCAGCUGUUCAGCACGCUUUCCUGUUGAGCCAGGUCUUUUCCCCCUCCUCGCCCUAAUAACCACCCUCUGCUCACUCUGCUCUCUCUCCAGUCUCGCUGCACUAAUCUCCCAGUUGUCAGCAAAACAAAUGAGCAGUGAGCUGCCUGGCAAACACAGAAGAUAAAGGUGUCAAGAAGAGGUCCGUAUCUUUGGUGUCUGCUUGAAGCAAGAAUGUCCUCUGGAUCCACAUGGCACUACUGCAGUUUUCUGGUGCCACCGCAGACAAGGAGUUUGUUCUGUUCUGCAUGUUACCUUGUGGCAGCCAGCAUGUAACUCAGCAGAGCUGAGACCUUGUCCCAGGAAUUUUCACGUGGAGACUAAGGACAAGGCAGCCCAAGUAGUGUUGUUAGUCACUGUCCAGAAGCCUCAAAAGGUUUCUAGCCCCCUGCUGCCUCUGGGAAGAGGGGAGACCCCAGGGCUGCGAAGCCAUCGCAGAGCUUCCAGUGCUCAGGUGUGGGACUGCUGCUGGACCUUUGUGUGUGGACAGAGGAUUCUGAACCUCAAACAGAACUGCAGAUGGAAAUGGACUAUAAGGGCCCAUUUCUCUCUACCCCAUUAG